GGAGUUGUGGCUCAGUGGUAGAGUGCUUGCCUAGCACGUAUGAGGCACUGGAUUCAAUCCUCAGCACCA
RNAcentral lists this transfer RNA (69 nucleotides) under Marmota monax (woodchuck). It matches the Rfam family "tRNA". From Rfam's summary of the family: Transfer RNA (tRNA) molecules are approximately 80 nucleotides in length. The record is from Rfam by way of RNAcentral. RNAcentral also lists the same sequence under 1 other name. Lineage: Eukaryota; Metazoa; Chordata; Mammalia; Rodentia; Sciuridae.